This 459-nucleotide ribosomal RNA is filed under the name uncultured bacterium. Its description in RNAcentral is "partial 16S ribosomal RNA". It matches the Rfam family "Bacterial small subunit ribosomal RNA", at positions 338 to 795 of the family's 1533-position model. The record is from RNAcentral.
CCUACGGGAGGCAGCAGUGAGGAAUAUUGGUCAAUGGCCGGGAGGCUGAACCAGCCAAGUCGCGUGAGGGAAGACGGCCCUACGGGUUGUAAACCUCUUUUGUCAGGGAGCAAGGUGCAGGUCGGGACCUGCUGUGAGAGUACCUGAAGAAAAAGCAUCGGCUAACUCCGUGCCAGCAGCCGCGGUAAUACGGAGGAUGCGAGCGUUAUCCGGAUUUAUUGGGUUUAAAGGGUGCGCAGGCGGGGGCACAAGUCAGCGGUAAAAUCGCGGGGCUCAACCCCGCCCCGCCGUUGAAACUGGGUGCCUUGAGUGCGCGAAGGGUAGGCGGAAUGCGUGGUGUAGCGGUGAAAUGCAUAGAUAUCACGCAGAACUCCGAUCGCGAAGGCAGCCUACCGGCGCGCAACUGACGCUCAUGCACGAAGGCGUGGGUAUCGAACAGGAUUAGAUACCCCUGUAGUC